Molecule: unclassified non-coding RNA, 253 nt
Filed under: uncultured Alphaproteobacteria bacterium
Lineage: Bacteria; Pseudomonadati; Pseudomonadota; Alphaproteobacteria
Description: contains 16S-23S intergenic spacer region
Rfam family: Bacterial small subunit ribosomal RNA
Source: RNAcentral
UACGAAGGGGGCUAGCGUUGCUCGGAAUCACUGGGCGCAAAGCGCACGUAGGCGGGCUUUUAAGUCGGAGGUGAAAUCCCAGGGCUCAACCCUGGAACUGCCUUCGAUACUGAAAGUCUUGAGUCCGGAAGAGGUAAGUGGAACUCCGAGUGUAGAGGUGAAAUUCGUAGAUAUUCGGAAGAACACCAGUGGCGAAGGCGGCUUACUGGUCCGGUACUGACGCUGAGGUGCGAAAGCGUGGGGAGCAAACAGG